AAACAUGGCUGUUCUCUUCAGAGGAGGAGCUCGGGGCCUCGCUGUCCCUGGGAAUGGCUGGUGUUCUCGUCAGGGGAGCUCUGAUCUUCACCUCUUGCACAGGUGAGUCCAAGCAGGACGAGUGAUGACAGGGAAGGUAACUGUGAAAGGACCGAAGGAAUAUCCUCCGGCUCAACCCUGGCUGCAGAAUGAAGGGGUGCUCAGAAGAAGGGUGGGGCUCGCUCUUGAUCAGCUCCCUGUUCCUGACCAAAUGCGGGCACAGAGCGUGCAGGACCAUGGCCCUCUGCUCUUCUUUUCCUGUUUGCUCAUAUCAUCUUCUACAGAUGAAGUCAGGGAGAUUAUGAUAAAAGGACCCUUCUGUCCAACUAAGAAGGUUCAGAGGACCACGGGAAGAACAGAUCUGAGAGGUCUCGUAGCAGGUUCACACAGACUCUUAAUAGGUCAGCAAGGUGCAGAGAAAAAUAGCCUGGACCUGCACAGAAGAGCUGACACCAAGCAAGCAACUGGCUGCAUCCACUGAAUUGUUGAAGGAGAGAAAACAGGAAGGACAGAGAUAUGAGUAACAAAGUAUCUACUAAAAAUGAGUAAGAGACAAGAAGAAACAUCGCCAUCGUGCAGAGGGAAAGAAUGCCUAAACCGGUGCACUCUUCAUGGGAGGAUUCAAAUGAAAACCAAGGACAGCUUCUAUUUAUCAGACUUGAUAAGCAGUUGAAGAUACGUUUCAUAUAUGGCCGGUGGCAGUGCAAUUUGUUCCAGCUCCCAUGGAAAAAUAAGGUUCUGUCUUACCAAAAAUGAAGGGCCAGGGAUUUAACUCAGUGGUUCCAGCACCUGCCUUGCAAGCACAAGGUUCCAAGUUCAAUCCCCAGUACCAAAAAAAAAUAAAAAUAAAAAUAAAAGUUCACAUACUCUUUGACUAAAACAGCUACUGUUGAUAAACUCACCACUGAUUCAAUGAGGCAUGAACAUGAUUAUUUACUAGCAUGUGGUUUGUCAUGGGAAUAGAGACAUUCCC
This 1012-nucleotide long non-coding RNA is filed under the name Heterocephalus glaber (naked mole-rat). Its description in RNAcentral is "lncRNA (ENSHGLG00100046714.1)". Lineage: Eukaryota; Metazoa; Chordata; Mammalia; Rodentia; Bathyergidae. The record is from RNAcentral.